Molecule: transfer RNA, 82 nt
Filed under: Candidatus Magnetomonas plexicatena
Lineage: Bacteria; Pseudomonadati; Nitrospirota; Nitrospiria
Also listed under: 1 other name
Description: Nitrospirales bacterium LBB_01 tRNA
Rfam family: tRNA
About the family: Transfer RNA (tRNA) molecules are approximately 80 nucleotides in length. Their secondary structure includes four short double-helical elements and three loops (D, anti-codon, and T loops).
Source: Rfam by way of RNAcentral
GGAGAGGUUCCCGAGCGGCCAAAGGGGACGGGCUGUAAACCCGUUGACUCAGUCUUCGGAGGUUCGAAUCCUCCCCUCUCCA